RNAcentral lists this ribosomal RNA (492 nucleotides) under uncultured bacterium. RNAcentral's name for it is "partial 16S ribosomal RNA". It matches the Rfam family "Bacterial small subunit ribosomal RNA", at positions 29 to 507 of the family's 1533-position model. The record is from RNAcentral.
AGUGAACGCUGGCGGUAGGCCUAACACAUGCAGGUCGAACGGCAGCACAGUAAGAGCUUGCUCUUACGGGUGGCGAGUGGCGGACGGGUGAGGAAUACAUCGGAAUCUACUUUUUCGUGGGGGAUAACGUAGGGAAACUUACGCUAAUACCGCAUACGACCUACGGGUGAAAGCAGGGGAUCUUCGUACCUUGCGCGAUUGAAUGAGCCGAUGUCGGAUUAGCUAGUUGGCGGGGUAAAGGCCCACCAAGGCGACGAUCCGUAGCUGGUCUGAGAGGAUGAUCAGCCACACUGGAACUGAGACACGGUCCAGACUCCUACGGGAGGCAGCAGUGGGGAAUAUUGGACAAUGGGCGCAAGCCUGAUCCAGCCAUACCGCGUGGGUGAAGAAGGCCUUCGGGUUGUAAAGCCCUUUUGUUGGGAAAGAAAAGCAGCAGGUUAAUACCCCGCUGUUCUGACGGUACCCAAAGAAUAAGCACCGGCUAACUUCGUG